This 141-nucleotide ribosomal RNA is filed under the name uncultured eukaryote. RNAcentral describes it as "partial 18S ribosomal RNA". It matches the Rfam family "Eukaryotic small subunit ribosomal RNA", at positions 1299 to 1458 of the family's 1831-position model. The record is from RNAcentral.
UGGUGGAGUGAUUUGUCUGGUUAAUUCCGAUAACGAGCGAGACCUCAGCCUGCUAACUAGUUGUGGAAAUCUUCGAUUUCUUUACGCAGCUUCUUAGAGGGACUAUUGGUGAUUAGCCAAUGGAAGUUUGAGGCUAUAACA